CAUGCAAGUCGAGCGGAGAUUGAGAGCUUGCUCUCAUGAUCAGCGGCGGACGGGCGAGUAACACGUGAGCAACCUGCCUUUCAGAGGGGGACAACAGUUGGAAACGACUGCUAAUACCGCAUAACAUUGCCGAACGGCAUCGUUUGGCAAUCAAAGGAGCAAUCCGCUGAAAGAUGGGCUCGCGUCUGAUUAGAUAGUUGGUGAGGUAACGGCCCACCAAGUCGACGAUCAGUAGCCGGACUGAGAGGUUGAUCGGCCACAUUGGGACUGAGACACGGCCCAGACUCCUACGGGAGGCAGCAGUGGGGGAUAUUGGACAAUGGGGGAAACCCUGAUCCAGCGAUGCCGCGUGAGGGAAGAAGGUUUUCGGAUUGUAAACCUCUGUGGACAGGGACGAUAAUGACGGUACCUGUUUAGAAAGCCACGGCUAACUACGUGCCAGCAGCCGCGGUAAUACGUAGGUGGCGAGCGUUGUCCGGAAUUACUGGGUGUAAAGGGAGUGUAGGCGGGAAGGCAAGUCAGAAGUGAAAAUUAUGGGCUUAACCCAUAACCUGCUUUUGAAACUGUUUUUCUUGAGUGAGGCAGAGGCAAGCGGAAUUCCUAGUGUAGCGGUGAAAUGCGUAGAUAUUAGGAGGAACACCAGUGGCGAAGGCGGCUUGCUGGGCCUUU
RNAcentral lists this ribosomal RNA (669 nucleotides) under uncultured bacterium. RNAcentral describes it as "bacterial SSU rRNA". It matches the Rfam family "Bacterial small subunit ribosomal RNA", at positions 54 to 738 of the family's 1533-position model. The record is from RNAcentral.